CUGACGAGCACGCCGCGUGAGUGAGAAGGUUUUCGGAUCGUAAAGCUCUGUUGUAAGUCAAGAACGUGUGUGAGAGUGGAAAGUUCACACAGUGACGGUAGCUUACCAGAAAGGGACGGCUAACUACGUGCCAGCAGCCGCGGUAAUACGUAGGUCCCGAGCGUUGUCCGGAUUUAUUGGGCGUAAAGGGAGCGCAGGCGGUCAGGAAAGUCUGGAGUAAAAGGCUAUGGCUCAACCAUAGUGUGCUCUGGAAACUGUCUGACUUGAGUGCAGAAGGGGAGAGUGGAAUUCCAUGUGUAGCGGUGAAAUGCGUAGAUAUAUGGAGGAACACCAGUGGCGAAAGCGGCUCUCUGGUCUGUCACUGACGCUGAGGCUCGAAAGCGUGGGUAGCGAACA
Molecule: ribosomal RNA, 396 nt
Filed under: Streptococcus mutans
Lineage: Bacteria; Bacillati; Bacillota; Bacilli; Lactobacillales; Streptococcaceae
Description: bacterial SSU rRNA
Rfam family: Bacterial small subunit ribosomal RNA
Source: RNAcentral